Molecule: ribosomal RNA, 437 nt
Rfam family: Bacterial small subunit ribosomal RNA
ACGGGAGGCAGCAGUGGGGAAUAUUGGGCAAUGGGCGAAAGCCUGACCCAGCAACGCCGCGUGAAGGAAGAAGGUCUUCGGAUUGUAAACUUCUUUUAUGAGGGACGAAGGACGUGACGGUACCUCAUGAAUAAGCCACGGCUAACUACGUGCCAGCAGCCGCGGUAAUACGUAGGUGGCGAGCGUUAUCCGGAUUUAUUGGGUUUAAAGGGUGCGCAGGCGGCACGUUAAGUCAGCGGUGAAAUGCAGGGGCUCAACCCCGGCACUGCCGUUGAAACUGGCGAGCUCGAGUACGGAUGAAGUCGGCGGAAUGUGAUGUGUAGCGGUGAAAUGCUUAGAUAUGUCACAGAACACCGAUUGCGAAGGCAGCUGACUAAUCCGCAACUGACGCUCAGGCACGAAAGCGUGGGGAUCGAACAGGAUUAGAUACCCUGGUA